This 2098-nucleotide long non-coding RNA is filed under the name Homo sapiens (human). Its description in RNAcentral is "HSALNT0361601". The record is from RNAcentral. Lineage: Eukaryota; Metazoa; Chordata; Mammalia; Primates; Hominidae.
AUGCCAGAGGCUCUAUUUCCUAGCAUUUUACAGCUCCUAUAACUGUAGAAUGGUUGUAGGUCACAGGUAUAACCAAUGAAAACACAACCUAAGAUACAAAUCAGGAGCUACUGAUGCAAAGAAUGGGGACCAGGAGGAAGAGUUUCUUCGAGACCUGGUGGUUGAAGAGCAGUGGAUCAUUCUUGGCUGUGGUGGGAGAGGUGCUGAACGUUGUUCACGCUGGCUAUGUCAUGAGUGGAAUCUAUGGCGUCAAGGCUAGAGAAGGAUGGAUAGAGAAAAGCAUCAUUACAAAAGUGAAAUGUGUGAAUUUUAUUCUGGCUUUGAACAUUGAGUAGACGAAGAAGACAAUUCCAGACGGAGGAAACUCCACAAGAAAUAUCAUGGAAAUUUGAAAGAACACAGUGGGCUUGGGAAGAGAGAUCUCAGUGGUGGAAGCACCAUCAUCCCAAGGAGACUUAGGACAUUAUUUGAAGAGAGUUUUCCCCUGAGGAAAGUGCUUCAGAGGAGAAAAUACACCAGAAAAAGACAAGGCCCUGCUCUGAGGAGUGAAGACACAAUCCAGCAGGCAGGAGGGAUGGCUAAGUUCAAAGUCUUGAGAAGUGCCCCUCAUGGACACCCCAGGGUGCCCAUCUCCAGGUUACCACCAGGUGCUUCCAAGACCAAGAUAACCAGGCAAUCAUAGUAGAUGCAUCAAUGCACCCUUGCCCAAGGGCCUAGACAAGAGGAGGAAGGAAAGGAGGAGCACGUGCACAAAGCUAAGGAGGUGAUUAACAACAUGAUACAGUAUUGUUUAGCUUCGCAUGAAUUUUAUCACCUUGCCUAGAACCAGCCACCAUCUGCCAGGGCUCCUGACUUUUUCUGAAAUGAAUAGACACUAAAGCCUGCUGGGGAAUUUCAUGGAAAUCAAGAUGACUCAACCCAGAGUCCAUUUCAAGGCUAGGAUGCUAGAGGACGCCAACAAAGGAGUAGGGAAGUGAAACGGAUCAGCUCACAUCCAAGCCCUUGCAUGAUCAAUCCUGCAGUAGGAGUGCUGCUCAGUUGGGACUCAUGAGAGCCCGGAAGAGGAAAAAGCAGCUCUAAGCAUAGCAAAGAAGCUGUUAUGGAAAAGACCCAAAUGUUAAAAUGGUGGACAUAGUAAAGUGAUUGGUUCUGCUUAGGGGAAUCUAGAUCCCCACAUUUUGACCUCCACUGGAGUCUCAGAAGAACAAGUGCCAGGGGGGCUUGCCACAGAGGCCAAGGCAGUGAAUGUCAGGCACAUCACAGUCCCCAAGAUGGGGAGAAGACUGAGAUGCAGGGUAACAACUGCAAUCCAUUCAUGGGAGCCAUGUUUAUCUUAAAUCAUUGACAGUGAGAUAAGGAUCAUGUCAGCCUUCAUACCUUUGAUGAUGAUCCCAGGCUGCAACAGUGACACAUAGAACUGGAUUCAGUAACUAACUACAGAUUCCAUCAACCAGGACUAGUAAAGUGAAAGGCAGAAAUUGGGAGGAGGGGUUUCUUUCUUGCUUAUAAAACUUUAUUUGGUUGUGUUGAGUAUGUGCAUGUAUGUAUGAAAUCCCAUAAAGCAGUCUUCUUAGGAACAAGCCAACAUGCCACAAUGUAGGAGAUCUUUGGAGCACUGGCCUAAAUGGCAGAGAGCUCAAGGGACUCUGCUUUGUACAAGGCAUGAUUUGUACCACCACCACUAUCCCUGUUUCAGAGCACUGUUGAAUUGUUCCAAACCUGGAUUUCUAUGUCAGCUCCCUGUCUAUAGUACUUGACUGAUAAAUGCUAGUUUCUGAAAUCUGCUUUGGUUCUAUAAUUUAUUAGACAGCUUUUUCUUCCCAUUUUAUUACUUGUUUUUACUGUCAUUGGUAUAUUAUCUCUUACAGUGAAAACAUUCAUAGGCUGAUUGAAGAGAAGAUCUGAAAUUAUUAGGCAGCAAGCAUACAAAACCCUUGCUUUAUAAAGAUAAUAUCUUAAAGGCCUAAUGUCUAUGGUUCAAAGCAGCCUGGAGAUGUUGGCUAAAUCUUCCAUCAUAGAGUCCUCAUGGGAUCUGGAAGCUCUGAUUUAUCUUCCUUCAGGCCCUAUAAGUUAGCUUUCCACAUCUGUAGGUUCCACA